RNAcentral lists this non-coding RNA (31 nucleotides) under Rattus norvegicus (Norway rat). Lineage: Eukaryota; Metazoa; Chordata; Mammalia; Rodentia; Muridae. The record is from RNAcentral.
UUCUAGGGUGGAGACUCAGAAAUGUCUCUGA